GUGACGGAGCGACGCCGCGUGGGGGAUGAAGGCCUUCGGGUUGUAAACCCUUGUCACCUGGAAAGAAAAGCAGGUGGUGAAUAGCCAGCCUGUUUGACGUUACCAGGAGAGGAAGCACCGGCUAAAUACGUGCCAGCAGCCGCGGUAAUACGUAUGGUGCUAACGUUGUUCGGAAUCACUGGGCUUAAAGAGCACGUAGGCGGUUGAGAAAGUCUGGUGUGAAAUCCCUCGGCUCAACCGGGGAACUGCACCAGAAACUUCUUAGCUAGAGUACAGGAGGGGAGAGUGGAAUUCCUGGUGGAGCGGUGAAAUGCGUAGAUAUCAGGAGGAACGCCGGUGGCGAAAGCGACUCUCUGGCCUGUUACUGACGCUGAGGUGCGAAAGCUAGGGGAGCGAACGGGAUUAGAUACCCCGGUAGUCCUAGCCCUAAACGAUGGGCACUAAGUAGAGGGGUUUU
This 457-nucleotide ribosomal RNA is filed under the name uncultured bacterium. RNAcentral's name for it is "bacterial SSU rRNA". It matches the Rfam family "Bacterial small subunit ribosomal RNA", at positions 383 to 832 of the family's 1533-position model. The record is from RNAcentral.